GCCAGUGUAGCUUAGUGGUUAGAGUGUUGGACUAGGAUCUGGGAGACUCAGGUUCAAAUCCCCACUCUGCCC
RNAcentral lists this transfer RNA (72 nucleotides) under Sphaerodactylus townsendi. Its description in RNAcentral is "tRNA-Pro". Lineage: Eukaryota; Metazoa; Chordata; Lepidosauria; Squamata; Sphaerodactylidae. The record is from RNAcentral.